AAUGAACGCUGGCGGCAUGCCUAACACAUGCAAGUCGAACGAAGCCUUCGGGCUUAGUGGCGCACGGGUGCGUAACGCGUGGGAAUCUGCCCUUGGGUUCGGAAUAACAGUGGGAAACUACUGCUAAUACCGAAUGAUGUCGUAAGACCAAAGAUUUAUCGCCCAGGGAUGAGCCCGCGUAGGAUUAGCUAGUUGGUGUGGUAAAGGCGCACCAAGGCGACGAUCCUUAGCUGGCUGAGAGGAUGAUCAGCCACACUGGGACUGAGACACGGCCCAGACUCCUACGGGAGGCAGCAGUGGGGAAUAUUGGACAAUGGGCGGAAAGACCUGAUCCAGCAAUGCCGCGUGAGUGAUGAAGGCC
This 361-nucleotide ribosomal RNA is filed under the name uncultured bacterium. Its description in RNAcentral is "bacterial SSU rRNA". It matches the Rfam family "Bacterial small subunit ribosomal RNA", at positions 29 to 416 of the family's 1533-position model. The record is from RNAcentral.